This 254-nucleotide ribosomal RNA is filed under the name uncultured bacterium. RNAcentral's name for it is "partial 16S ribosomal RNA". It matches the Rfam family "Bacterial small subunit ribosomal RNA", at positions 524 to 776 of the family's 1533-position model. The record is from RNAcentral.
UACGUAGGGGGCGAGCGUUGUCCGGAUUUAUUGGGCGUAAAGAGCUCGUAGGCGGUGUGUCGCGUCGGCCGUGAAAACCUGCAGCUUAACUGUGGGCUUGCGGUCGAUACGGGCAUCACUGGAGUUCGGCAGGGGAGACUGGAAUUCCUGGUGUAGCGGUGAAAUGCGCAGAUAUCAGGAGGAACACCGGUGGCGAAGGCGGGUCUCUGGGCCGGUACUGACGCUGAGGAGCGAAAGCGUGGGGAGCGAACAGG